RNAcentral lists this ribosomal RNA (460 nucleotides) under uncultured bacterium. RNAcentral describes it as "partial 16S ribosomal RNA". It matches the Rfam family "Bacterial small subunit ribosomal RNA", at positions 338 to 795 of the family's 1533-position model. The record is from RNAcentral.
CCUACGGGAGGCAGCAGUGAGGAAUAUUGGUCAAUGGACGAGAGUCUGAACCAGCCAAGCCGCGUGAAGGAAGAAGGUCCUGGGUAUCGUAAACUUCUUUUAUAAGGGAACAAAAAGUGGCACGAGUCCCCGGAUGCGUGUACCUUAAGAAAAAGCAUCGGCUAACUCCGUGCCAGCAGCCGCGGGAAUACGGAGGAUCCGAGCGUUGUCCGGAUUUAUUGGGUUAAAAGGGGGCGUAGAGGGGUUGUUACGUCAGUUGUGAAAGUGCGGGGCUUAACCCUAGAAUUGCAUUUGAAACUGGCAGUCUUGAGUUGAGUAGAGGUAUGCGGAAUUCGUGGUGUAGCGGUGAAAUGCUUAGAUAUCACGAAGAACCCCGAUUGCGAAGGCAGCUUACUGGACUGACACUGACGCUGAGGCACGAAAGUGUGGGUAUCAAACAGGAUUAGAUACCCGAGUAGUC